GUGUCAGCAGCCGCGGUAAUACGUAGGUGGCAAGCGUUGUCCGGAAUUAUUGGGCGUAAAGAGCAUGUAGGCGGGAAUCUAAGUCUGUUGUGAAAAUGCGGGGCUCAACCCCGUAUGGCGAUGGAAACUGGAUUUCUUGAGUGCAGGAGAGGAAAGGGGAAUUCCCAGUGUAGCGGUGAAAUGCGUAGAUAUUGGGAGGAACACCAGUGGCGAAGGCGCCUUUCUGGACUGUGUCUGACGCUGAGAUGCGAAAGCCAGGGUAGCGAACGGGAUUAGAUACCCCGGUAGUCCUGGCCGUAAACGAUGGGUACUAGGUGUAGGGGGUAUCGACCCCUCCUGUGCCGGAGUUAACGCAAUAAGUACCCCGCCUGGGGAGUACGGCCGCAAGGUUGAAACUUAAAUGAAUUGACGGGG
This 414-nucleotide ribosomal RNA is filed under the name uncultured prokaryote. Its description in RNAcentral is "bacterial SSU rRNA". It matches the Rfam family "Bacterial small subunit ribosomal RNA", at positions 505 to 918 of the family's 1533-position model. The record is from RNAcentral.